UGCAGUCGAACGAAGUAGCAAUACUUAGUGGCAGACGGGUGAGUAACAUGUAGGUAUCUGCCCUUUGGCCUGGAAUAACACGAGGAAACUUGUGCUAAUACCGGAUAAGUCUUUACGGAGAAAGCUUUAUGCACCAUUGGAUGAGCCUGCAUUUGAUUAGUUUGUUGGUGGGGUAAUGGCCUACCAAGACUUUGAUCAAUAGCUGAUUUGAGAGGAUGAUCAGCCACAUUGGGACUGAGACACGGCCCAAACUCCUACGGGAGGCAGCAGUGGGGAAUCUUGCACAAUGGAGGAAACUCUGAUGCAGCGAUGCCGCGUGAGUGAAGAAGGCCCUUGGGUUGUAAAGCUCUUUCGUCGGGGAAGAAAAUGACUGUACCCGAAUAAGAAGGUCCGGCUAACUUCGUGCCAGCAGCCGCGGUAAUACGAAGGGACCUAGCGUAGUUCGGAAUUACUGGGCUUAAAGAGUUCGUAGGUGGUUGAAAUAGUUGGUGGUGAAAUCCCAGAGCUUAACUCUGGAACUGCCAUCAAAACUUUUCAGCUAGAGUAUGAUAGAGGAAAGCAGAAUUUCUAGUGUAGAGGUGAAAUUCGUAGAUAUUAGAAAGAAUACCAAUUGCGAAGGCAGCUUUCUGGAUCAUUACUGACACUGAGGAACGAAAGCAUGGGUAGCGAAGAGGAUUAGAUACCCUCGUAGUCCAUGCCGUAAACGAUGUGUGUUAGACGUUGGAAAUUUAUUUUCAGUGUCGCAGCGAAAGCGAUAAACACACCGCCUGGGGAGUACGACCGCAAGGUUAAAACUCAAAUGAAUUGACGGGGACCCGCACAAGUAGUGGAGCAUGU
Molecule: ribosomal RNA, 837 nt
Filed under: uncultured marine bacterium
Lineage: Bacteria
Description: bacterial SSU rRNA
Rfam family: Bacterial small subunit ribosomal RNA
Source: RNAcentral